Danio rerio (zebrafish) is the source of this 115-nucleotide non-coding RNA. NCBI's taxonomy places the organism in Eukaryota, Metazoa, Chordata, Actinopteri, Cypriniformes, Danionidae. The record is from Rfam.
GCCGGCAGCUAGCUCUCUGCAACUCCCAUAUUGUCGCCCACUGAAGCUAAGCAGGGUUGAGUCUGGUCAGUACCUGGAUGGGAGACCACAUGGGAAAGCUAGUUUGCUGUCGGAA